RNAcentral lists this ribosomal RNA (301 nucleotides) under uncultured bacterium. RNAcentral's name for it is "partial 16S ribosomal RNA". It matches the Rfam family "Bacterial small subunit ribosomal RNA", at positions 509 to 807 of the family's 1533-position model. The record is from RNAcentral.
CAGUAGCCGCGGUAAUACGAGGGGGGCAAGCGUUGUUCGGAAUUAUUGGGCGUAAAGGGUGCGUAGGCGGUUUCGUAAGUCUUAUGUGAAAUCUAUGGGCUCAACCCAUAGUCUGCAUGGGAAACUGCGAGGCUUGAGGAUGGGAGAGGUGAGUGGAAUUUCCGGUGUAGCGGUGAAAUGCGUAGAUAUCGGAAGGAACACCUGUGGCGAAAGCGGCUCACUGGACCAUUUCUGACGCUGAUGCACGAAAGCUAGGGGAGCAAACAGGAUUAGAUACCCCCGUAGUCCCUGUCUCUUAUAC